RNAcentral lists this long non-coding RNA (1135 nucleotides) under Panax ginseng (ginseng). RNAcentral describes it as "long non-coding RNA (PGIN_LNC003986)". Lineage: Eukaryota; Viridiplantae; Streptophyta; Magnoliopsida; Apiales; Araliaceae. The record is from RNAcentral.
UUCAUUGUAGUCUUAAUAAAAUAAAUUUAGUUCAUUAUUAAUGAAUUAAAAUCAAGAAUCCACAAUUGAAUAGACAUUAAAAGAUAAAAAUAAGAUUAGAGAAGAGAAUAAAUCUGUUGUCAGCAAAUCUCCAUCUUCCUCAAGCUCCUGCUCUUUUUCUUCAAUGGUCUCCAAGUUGCUUCAAUCUCCAAAACUAAUAAGAACUAGGGUUUAUGUUCUAAUUUAAUGGAGUGUAUCUCUAAUCUAAUCUAUGUAAUUUCUCUCUAUUUUAUGCCUUACAUCAUGUAUUUAUAGGUUACAAGUCCAAUUUUUAGCUUAGGAACAAACCCAAUCCAAUUUGGAGUCAGAAAAGUGUCAAAAUUCUUCCCAAAACGCGUCCAAGCCUCACCAAUCCCUUCCCCAGCGCCCUGGCGCUGGGCACAGCGCUGGAACACUGCAUUAUAAGCUUGAUUUGGGCGCCCCGGGGCUGGAACAUUUUCUGACAUUUUCUGCUCUGACAUCCUUUGGGAAAAUGGUCAUAACUUCUUCGUCCGAACUCCGAUUUUGAUGAUUAAAGAUGUUCUGGAAAGAGGAAACGUAGAUCUACAACUUUCAUUCUUUACGGUUUUCAAAAUAAGGUCCAGAGCAAUACUCAAAUUGGCUCUGAAGUGACUGUUGUGUAAAUGACAAGCCGAAAACGCGAAUCUAGCAACCCCAAACAUUGAUCCAAGUAACUUUUGUCCCAAUUCCUAUAAAACAACAUAAAACAUGCAUAAAUAGACACAAACACUUAAAAACUAUUCUAAAAGACUUGAGAACAACAAUAAAUUAAGCCCGAAUGUAUCCAAUUCAUGGGUAUAUUACCCAUUCAUCAAUACUCCAGAUCCGCUUCAGCCUGAGAAGAUCUCUCCUGAGCUUCCCUCAAUUCUGCCUCCACUUUCGAGCAGGCAGCCUCCCUGAGCGUGUCUCUCUCACAAGCCACCUGAAGCUCAGUCUCAAGCUUAGUUUCCCUCUCAUGGGCCUCAACAAGCUCCACCUCCCUGAGUGCAUCCCUCUCACGGGUCGCCAAAAGCUCAACCACGAGCUCAACUGUCCUCUCACGGAUAGCAGAGAGAUCUGUUUCAGCUUUCGAGCAAGCUGUCUCACUAAGUGCGAC